CCUACGGGUGGCAGCAGUGGGGAAUAUUGCACAAUGGGGGAAACCCUGAUGCAGCCACGCCGCGUGAGUGAAGAAGUAACUCGUUAUGGUAAGCUCUAUCUGCAGGGAAGAAAAGGACGGUACGUGUGUACGAAUCCCCGGCUAACUACGUGCCAGCAGCGGUGGUAAUACGCAGGGGGCAAGCGUUAUCCGGAUUUACUGGGUGUAAAGGGAGCGUAGAGGGGAGUGCAAGUCUGGAGUGAAAGGCUGGGGCUCAACCCCCGGACUGCUGUGGAAACUGUACGGCUGGAGUGCAGGAGAGGUAAGUGGAAUUCCUAGUGUAGCGGUGAAAUGCGUAGAUAUUAGGAGGAACACCAGUGGCGAAGGCGGCUUACUGGACUGUAACUGACGUUGAGGCUCGAAAGCGUGGGGAGCAAACAGGAUUAGAUACCCGUGUAGUC
Molecule: ribosomal RNA, 440 nt
Filed under: uncultured bacterium
Lineage: Bacteria
Description: partial 16S ribosomal RNA
Rfam family: Bacterial small subunit ribosomal RNA
Source: RNAcentral